RNAcentral lists this ribosomal RNA (253 nucleotides) under uncultured bacterium. RNAcentral describes it as "partial 16S ribosomal RNA". It matches the Rfam family "Bacterial small subunit ribosomal RNA", at positions 524 to 776 of the family's 1533-position model. The record is from RNAcentral.
UACGUAGGGGGCAAGCGUUGUCCGGAUUUAUUGGGCGUAAAGAGCGUGUAGGCGGCCUGAAAGGUCAGCUGUGAAAACUCGAGGCUCAACCUCGAGACGUCGGUUGAAACCAUCUGGCUAGAGUCCGGAAGAGGAGUGUGGAAUUCCCGGUGUAGCGGUGAAAUGCGCAGAGAUCGGAAAGAACACCAACGGCGAAAGCACUCUGCUGGGCCGACACUGACACUGAGAGACGAAAGCUAGGGGAGCGAAUGGG